Long non-coding RNA from Mustela erminea (ermine), 309 nucleotides. RefSeq lists it as uncharacterized. NCBI's taxonomy places the organism in Eukaryota, Metazoa, Chordata, Mammalia, Carnivora, Mustelidae. The record is from RefSeq and is a predicted model, not a curated record. The transcript is spliced from 3 exons.
CAAGUCACAAGGACGUCAGAGCUGGCCUCUGGCCCAACACAGGGAGCUGGAAUCUGGCCCCUCCUUGGUCAUCUAGCCACUUCCACCAGCAAUCCUGUGAGGUGGGUACCAUUAUGCGUCCCAAUCGCCCAGAUGAGGAAACUGAGGCCCAGAGAGCUGAAGUCAGAGUGGACUCCAUUCCCUGGAGGCCACCAGACCCGAAGCCCCAUCUUCCAGGCCCCGGCUCAGGCUGUCUGUUUUCCUGAAUGUUCUUCCUCUGGAGCCCUCACUUCCGGCCCCAGGGCUGGCUGGCGCAGAAGUCUCCUACCU